AGGCGGGCUUCGACUGAGGCCACGGAUUUUACACCAAUUAGAGCAAGAGAAAAUACGUCACCAUCGCCAUGGAUACAGGGUCCUCCUCCAUAUUGUACACUCUCAGCGGGCGUGGCUGGACUCCAGAGAUGGUGGUGUAACCCAGAAAACGAUAUUGGAAAAUAUGAAGAUUAAACUACCGAUGGACCCUUGAGGACGCGGACGCACCCUUAGAACCCAUUAAAACCCAUCAUUCCAAUGGGAAAAUCAUCAGUGGAAACCGCUUGGAAAUUUGCCUUUAUCUUAGAGCUGGCUGAGGUCUGGUGAGUGUUCAGGAUUCUCCUCAGAAAAACACGCGGCUCCGCUGCGUCACUCACAACAUCUAACUAGUCUGUCUGAAAAAGCCAGUGUUUUUCCCCCAACUACUCACCCCCCCCCCCCCCACCCCCCACCCCCCCUUUCUUGUCUCCAUAUCUGCACUUCAUGAAAACAGAGCUCAUUUAUAGAUCAUUAUUGGUAUAACUAAAGCUCUAUGUAUAGUUAAAUAUAGCAGUGGAUGUCUGAUUUGAUAGGAAUAUGCUUGUACAUACUUCUUUAUCCAAUCAAGAUGGAUGUGCUGUGACAGUGACUUUACAUUUACAACGAUUACACUCGUUUCUUUCAGUUUGUUACUCUCAGUUCAAAUAACUUACUGUAAUCUUUCUGAACAUGUGAUUUUAAAUGGUGUACUUGUGUGCUUUGGGGAAAUGAAACCAAAGGAAUAAAGUUUU
Molecule: long non-coding RNA, 749 nt
Organism: Ictalurus punctatus (channel catfish)
Lineage: Eukaryota; Metazoa; Chordata; Actinopteri; Siluriformes; Ictaluridae
Exons: 3
Source: RefSeq, a predicted model, not a curated record